UACGUAGGGUGCAAGCGUUAAUCGGAAUUACUGGGCGUAAAGCGUGCGCAGGCGGUUUUGUAAGACAGAUGUGAAAUGCCCGGGCUUAACCUGGGAACUGCAUUUGUGACUGCAAGGCUAGAAUCUGGCAGAGGGGGGUAGAAUUCCACGUGUAGCAGUGAAAUGCGUAGAUAUGUGGAGGAAUACCGAUGGCGAAGGCAGCCCCCUGGGCUAAGAUUGACGCUCAUGCACGAAAGCGUGGGGAGCGAACAGG
This 253-nucleotide ribosomal RNA is filed under the name uncultured bacterium. RNAcentral describes it as "partial 16S ribosomal RNA". It matches the Rfam family "Bacterial small subunit ribosomal RNA", at positions 524 to 776 of the family's 1533-position model. The record is from RNAcentral.